This 72-nucleotide ribosomal RNA is filed under the name Triticum aestivum (bread wheat). RNAcentral describes it as "rRNA LSU_rRNA_eukarya". It matches the Rfam family "Eukaryotic large subunit ribosomal RNA", at positions 840 to 911 of the family's 3401-position model. Lineage: Eukaryota; Viridiplantae; Streptophyta; Magnoliopsida; Poales; Poaceae. The record is from Rfam by way of RNAcentral.
AGCGGGGCGAAGCCAGAGGAAACUCUGGUGGAGGCUCGAAGCGAUACUGACGUGCAAAUCGUUCGUCUGACU